RNAcentral lists this ribosomal RNA (301 nucleotides) under uncultured bacterium. RNAcentral's name for it is "partial 16S ribosomal RNA". It matches the Rfam family "Bacterial small subunit ribosomal RNA", at positions 509 to 807 of the family's 1533-position model. The record is from RNAcentral.
CAGUAGCCGCGGUAAUACGGAGGGUGCAAGCGUUAAUCGGAAUUACUGGGCGGAAAGCGCACGCAGGCGGUCUGUCAAGUCAGAUGUGAAAUCCCCGGGCUUAACCUGGGAACUGCAUUUGAAACUGGCAGGCUAGAGUCUUGUAGAGGGGGGUAGAAUUCCAGGUGUAGCGGUGAAAUGCGUAGAGAUCUGGAGGAAUACCGGUGGCGAAGGCGGCCCCCUGGACAAAGACUGACGCUCAGGUGCGAAAGCGUGGGGAGCAAACAGGAUUAGAUACCCGCGUAGUCCCUGUCUCUUAUAC